CUGGAGGGCUGGGGGCCUACUAGGUCAGGUCGGCUGUAGGAUUCUGCUCCAGGGUUGGCGGCUGCUUCUUUCUGGCCUGGCUGCCACUGAGUAGCCGAGGGGCCGCCGUGACCCUCUGACUGAUUGACUGGCUGGCUGCCUACGUCGGCGCUCCUCAGGGCCCCAAGCUCCUCAGGCCGAACUUCGGGGUUGGAUUGCUCAAGAGUUGUGCUGAGACCCAGAAGGCUAGAGGCUAGUUUCGAAGCUGUAGCUCAGGCUGAGUCUCAAGGCGGGCGGCGACUGGACGGCCAGACCGGCGAGCUCUUGACGGGAAGGCGACCGGCAGCCUCGGGCAGGGGAGACAGGACUGUAUGUCAGAGAAGAGACGGCGCUUGGACGCCAGGAAUCCUCUGAAGCAGGAGACUGCCCUAUCCAGAAGAUGACUCAAGACCGGCCUCUGCUUGCCGUGCAGGAGGCGCUGAAGAAGUGCUUCCCCGUGGUGGAGGAGCAGCAGGGCCUGUGGCAGAGUGCCCUGCGGGACUGCCAGCCCCUCCUGUCCUCCCUCAGCAACCUGGCGGAACAGCUGCAGGCCGCACAGAACCUGCGGUUUGAGGAUGUGCCGGCGCUUCGGGCCUUCCCAGAUUUAAAAGAGCGGCUGAGGCAGCCAUCCUCCUCAAGGUGCGAGACAUGGUCAGCAGCCAUGUGGAGCGAGUGUUUCAGAUCUAUGAGCAACACGCAGACACAGUUGGCAUUGAUGCUGUCCUGCAGCCUUCAGCAGUGAGCCCCUCUGUGGCUGACAUGUUGGAAUGGUUGCAGGAUAUUGAGAGACAUUAUCGAAAGUCACUGCAUUUUCUUUUGAGCAGUCCUUAACUUCCAGAAAGGUACCUGAAGAGAAAGUAUCUUCUUUCGUCUAUCCAGUGGGGAGACUUGGCAAACAUACAAGCUUUGCCCAAGGCCUGGGACCGAAUUUCAAAAGACGAACACCAAGAUCUUGUACAAGAUAUCCUAUUGAAUGUUUCCUUCUUCCUGGAAGAGUAAGGAAGCUAUGCGUAUCUGGAGACCACGGGUACCACAGUUGAAGACUGACAUUCUGAACCCUGAUGUUUCUAAAGAAACGUCAGUAUUUCAGUCUGACAUAUUUGAAACAUCAGUGCCUUGAACCUUAGGACUGGGUCUUGGGGAGGAUUAGCGCCUAGAUGUCUGAUUUUGGAGCUGCAGCAUGCCAGGCCGUGGCUGAGAGUAUGUGAGCCAUGCCUUGCCCUUUUCUGAGGCUCAGGGAAGUGGAUGGAGCUAGAGAGACAACAGGAAAGACGGUGCUGAAGAACAUAGUGUCUUUCCUCUAUUGUGGACCUAAAGAGGUGGGGAAGCAAGGACAAGAGGCAAAGAGCCACACUGCCCUUGGCAUCAUCCAAAGCAUUGUCUGGUUGACACCAGGUCCUGGUUUUGUGUCUUUUGUCAAUACCUGAAUCCUUGACAAAAGAAAAAGUGGUUUUGAUGAUUUAAAGAAAUAAGGGUGAUUUUGACAGAAAAUAUAUUUUAAAAAUUUUGACCAAUUGCAAUAGUUAUCCUCAAGCCAAUUUCCAGAACCUGCCACCAGGGGGAGGUGGUGCAGCAUGAAUCAUUCUGAAUGCUUUGUCUUUGAAGUGUUCCCCUAUUGCUGUUACCAUCUCAGAGGAAGUAACUGGGCAUGGUGAGACUCCUAAAAUGACAGGAGUUUUUUUGGCCAAAGCUGGCAUCUGACUUGCCACAUUCCUCUGAGUCUGGAGUAGCCGCAGGGGUGGGAGAAUGCCAGCCCAGAGUCAGUCCAUCGGGGUUACAUUUCCAAGGUCUGCUGCCUUCAUCUAUGUAAUGGCCGUGUUACUUUCAGAUCUUUCAGCUUCCCAGAGUGUUGUGGGAAUCUUGGUCAUUGAAUGUAAAGGGACUUAGUAAAGGGUAUAGAUAUUUUUCAAAAAUGAAAAUAACUUUUUUUCUUAUAAGUGAUAAGCUUUUAUAAAGAUCAUAGGAAAACUAGAAAAAAUGUAAAAUGUAGAAAAUUGUAAAACAAACUUCAUUAGAGAUAUUUUGAUAGAUACCUUUUCAGUGUCUAUUUACAAAUUUUUUCUUUUAAUAUAGAUAGGGUCUCACUAUAUUGCCCAGCUCACUCCUGAGCUCAAGGGAUCCUCCCACCAUAGCCUCCCAAAAUAUUGGAAAUACAGGCAUGAGCCACUGCUCCUGACCAAUUCACAAAUUUUUUUAAAGAACAAACGUGCUAUCAUCGAUACAUACUGUUAGGUUGUCUUUUUUUAAAAAACCUAAUGUAAUUUGUUCAUCUUUUUAUAUCUGUAAAUAUAGCUCAACACAGUUAUAUUCUUUUUGUGAAUGUAUUAUAUCUACAAUUUACCUUUUUUCUUAGAUUUUACAUGCAUUUUCCCAAAUCUUUGUGUUUGCCUAUCUGUAAAGGUAAUACAUUCUGAUUACAAAAAAUGAAAAUGUUACAUAGAAAUGUACCGUUAUCCAUCUACCAGAUAACUAUUAUUAAUAAUGUGUAUUUAUUUUUCCAGGAAUUAAAAAACAUCUAUCAUAUAAGUAUUGCAAAUAAAACUUAAAAAGCA
RNAcentral lists this long non-coding RNA (2570 nucleotides) under Homo sapiens (human). RNAcentral describes it as "non-protein coding lnc-C1orf109-1:3". The record is from RNAcentral. Lineage: Eukaryota; Metazoa; Chordata; Mammalia; Primates; Hominidae.